Molecule: unclassified non-coding RNA, 721 nt
Filed under: Hevea brasiliensis (rubber tree)
Lineage: Eukaryota; Viridiplantae; Streptophyta; Magnoliopsida; Malpighiales; Euphorbiaceae
Source: RNAcentral
GGAAGGCCUCCUGACCUAGAAAGUAAGUCAACCUUCCCCACCUUUAGUUGAGCUGUCGAGUGUCUAUUUUGGGGUUUGGUAGAUCGUUGGACUUAAAGUGAAGGUCUUGUUGAUUUAUGUUGUUGUUUCGGUUCUAAAGUAAUUUUGUUAAUAAUGGAAAGAGAAGCCUUAAUUAAUUGAUGGGCAAGACUGCUAUAGGAGGUAGAUCCCGUUAUGUCGUCCAUUGUCCUCUUCAUCCAGAAGUUGGUGCUGUUGUCCCAAUGCAGGAAGCUUGAUCUAAGGCUAGGCUUGUUGUUCCUUUAGGCAACAAUGGGGAGGCGACGACGUGAGCUAUUAGAGUACUCUACCUUAGCAUUAUGGGUUCUUCUAUUUUGAAUCUCUAUUCUUUUGAUUUGAUCGGGGCUUUGAUUUGUGUGGCUGUUGUUCUAUUAUGCCGAGAUCAGAGUGGUGGUGAGUUUGUGCCUGUAUGGUUCUGCCCUGAUCUUACUUCUCAAUGGCUUUGUGCGGCAAAGUUCCAUCGAAGUUUUUUUUGCCUUGAUUCCUUUUGUAUUUUCUUGAUUUGAGUAUGUUUUAGUUAAACUUGUGCCUUAACCCACCUCUUCUACUAUUCCAAUAUUAAUGAAAUUUCCAAUUUCAAUUAGAAAAAAAUAACUCAGUAUUUUAUGAAUAUAACCAAUAAUUUUAUGCAUUCUCCAUCCUAAAUAAAUAUUUUAAUAUUUUC